RNAcentral lists this ribosomal RNA (253 nucleotides) under uncultured bacterium. RNAcentral describes it as "partial 16S ribosomal RNA". It matches the Rfam family "Bacterial small subunit ribosomal RNA", at positions 524 to 776 of the family's 1533-position model. The record is from RNAcentral.
UACGGGGGGGGCAAGCGUUGUUCGGAAUUACUGGGCGUAAAGGGCGCGUAGGCGGCCCGGUAAGUCAAAGGUGAAAUCCCUCGGCUCAACUGAGGAACUGCCUUUGAAACUGUCGGGCUUGAGGCCGGGAGGGGGUAGCGGAAUUCCCAGUGUAGCGGUGAAAUGCGUAGAUAUUGGGAGGAACACCAGUGGCGAAGGCGGCUACCUGGACCGGUUCUGACGCUGAUGCGCGAAAGCGUGGGUAGCAAACAGG